This is an RNA transcript of Corylus avellana, 2297 nucleotides long. RefSeq lists it as uncharacterized. NCBI's taxonomy places the organism in Eukaryota, Viridiplantae, Streptophyta, Magnoliopsida, Fagales, Betulaceae. The record is from RefSeq and is a predicted model, not a curated record.
CUCUCCUUUCUUUCUUUCUUUCUCCAUCCCUUUCUUCCUCACGCCGCCUCCCUUUCUUUCUCUCUCACUCUCAGAGUCUCAGCCCUCAGGCUCUCACAGACUCACUCUCAACUCAAACUCUCAUUUUCUCUCCUCACGCCUCCUCUCUCUCUCUCUCUCUCUCUCUUUUUCUCUUGCUCUGAUUUUGUUUUUCAUUUCCAAAAGGCACCCUAGGCCCUGCAAUCAGGCUCCCCCCAAUCCCUUUCGAAAGCAUCUAUUACAAGUUUACAACCUCGGCAAUUUCCAAGUCCGCAACGGCUUGAUCUACCUUCGCGUGGAAGGCAACGAAAGGGGAUUAUCAUGACACUUAAAGACACAUUUUUUUUCCCAUAUAAGGAUGCCUCAAGAAUCACACGGAUUGACUGAAGAUAAAAUGGAAGGUAAAGAUUAACCACCAUAGAGGAGAAGUGUUCACUUAAGAGUGCCGUUUCGCUCAACGUCAAUGCAUCAAUUCUUCAAAUUACUCAAACAAGUACGGUGGCAUUCAUUGCUCGAGACAAAGACUUCCGUCUUUGUAUUGUGGGAUGGUCUGGCCAACUCAACAAGAUAGCAGCUUUGUUGAAGCUAUUGGAGUUUGCAUCACCAUUAAAACUACGUUUAAGGAGUCUGGGACAAAACAGACAAUUACUAUGCAAACGGCCAACAAAAAUUUUGUGAGGCUCCUUUUAAAGGAACAAAAAAGAAUAGCGACGAAGAAUACCAAGACAACUGCAGACAAACCCAUUAUUGACAAGCUCGUUGAUUGAGUGAUGGAUACACUUAAAAAAACAUGAUCUAGGCUUGAGGUGACAUAUGUUCCUCACAUCCGGAACAUUGUAGUGGAUGAAUUGACAAACCCAGUAAGAAAAUUGACACAUGUAGUUACUGCCAAUAAUGUAACACUAGAGUACGAACCAUUCUGGGAUGGCUAGGAAAAAAAAUAAUUUGAUCAUGAUAUGGGUGAUUGGAUACACAUGUACAUGUAUUGGACAAAUAAGAUUUUAGAUACAUUGAAUGGGACGGUCCUAGAAGACAUGUUGGUUAGAGUUGUGGUGAAAGAAGGAAAACAACGCAAAACCGUUAAGGUAAUGACUGCGACGGUUAAUAAGACUGAACUCAGAAAAGAUAGCAGAGACCUAGUGACAGUUACCGUUUAUCCUUUGGAGAAGAAUGGGCCUUAUGAGGACAAUGUUGAGGAAGAGUGAGUUGAAGUCGCUAUUACAACAUUACGUGAAUGUAGUGUCACCACCAAGCCCUCAAAAUGUGUAUUAGUAGACAUGUGGACAAAAUAUGAGAAGCUUGUUUUGUCAGAGCCAAAGAUUGAAGUUCUUACGGAUUUAACUAUAGUGAAACCUUAUCAGGAGGUGGCAACACAUCGAGAGCAAUUCGAGGCUACCCGAUUAUCUAGCAUGGGUGGUCACAACAAACGUCAUCAUUGACUACAUACCUGUCGUUAAGUCUAUGCUCUAUUGUACAUCUUUUCUGAGUUGAGUUUUAUUAACCUUCGUAGUCAUUACCUUAACGGUUUUGCGUUGUUUUCCUUCUUUUACCUCAACUCUAACCAACAUGUCUUCUAGGAGCGUCCCCUUCAAUCCAUCCGAAAACUUAUUUGUCCAAUAUAUGUAGGUGUGUAUCCAAUCACUUAUAUUAGGAUCAAUUUUUUUUUCUAGCCAUCUCAUAAUGGUUUGUACUCUAGUGUUACAUUCUUGGCAGUAACUAUAGGUGUCAAUUUUCUUAUUAGGUUCGUCAAUUCAUCCGCUGCAAUGUUUCGGAUGUGAGGAACAUAUGUCAACUCAAGCCUAUCAUGUUUUUUAAAUGUAUCCACCCAAUCAAUGAGCUUGUCAGUGGGUUUGUCUGCAGUUGUCUUGGUCUUGUUUGUCGUUAUUCUUUUUUCUCCUUUAAAAUCAGCCCCACAAAAUUUUUGUUGUCCGUUUGCAUAGUAUUUGUUUGUUCUGUCGCGGACUCCUUAAGUGUAGUUUGAAUGGUGAUGCAAACUCCAAUAGCUUCAACAAUGCUGCUAUCUUGUUGAGUUGAUCAGGCCAUCCCACUAUACAAAGACUGAUAGUCUUUGUCUCGAGCAAUGAAUGCCACCGCACUUGUUUGAGUAAUUUGAAGAAUUGAUGCAUCGACUUUGAGUGUAACGACACCCUUAAGUGAACACUUCUCCUCUAUGGUGGUUAAUUCUUUACCUGUUUGUAAUAAUUGUAAUAAUUGUUAGAGAUGUUAGUAAAUGUUUUACCUUAUUGCUAGAAAUAUUCAAGCAAAAUAUGAUUUCGAUU